UGGGGAAUAUUGCACAAUGGGGGAAACCCUGAUGCAGCAACGCCGCGUGAGCGAAGAAGUAUUUCGGUAUGUAAAGCUCUAUCAGCAGGGAAGAAAAUGACGGUACCUGACUAAGAAGCCCCGGCUAACUACGUGCCAGCAGCCGCGGUAAUACGUAGGGGGCAAGCGUUAUCCGGAUUUACUGGGUGUAAAGGGAGCGCAGGCGGCGAAGCAAGCCAGAGGUGAAAACCCGGGGCUCAACCCCGAGGAUUGCCUUUGGAACUGUUUUGCUUGAGUGCUGGAGGGGCAGGCGGAAUUCCUGGUGUAGCGGUGAAA
This 315-nucleotide ribosomal RNA is filed under the name uncultured Lachnospiraceae bacterium. RNAcentral's name for it is "bacterial SSU rRNA". It matches the Rfam family "Bacterial small subunit ribosomal RNA", at positions 355 to 686 of the family's 1533-position model. Lineage: Bacteria; Bacillati; Bacillota; Clostridia; Lachnospirales; Lachnospiraceae. The record is from RNAcentral.